This 484-nucleotide ribosomal RNA is filed under the name uncultured bacterium. RNAcentral's name for it is "bacterial SSU rRNA". It matches the Rfam family "Bacterial small subunit ribosomal RNA", at positions 40 to 518 of the family's 1533-position model. The record is from RNAcentral.
CGACAGGCUAACACAUGCAGUCGAGGGGCAGCACGGGAGUAGCAAUACAACUGGUGGCGACCGGCGCACGGGUGAGUAACGCGUAUGCAACCUACCUAUCAGAGGGGAAUAACCCGGCGAAAGUCGGACUAAUACCGCAUAAAACAGGGGCACCGCAUGGUGAUAUUUGUUAAAGAAAUUCGCUGAUAGAUGGGCAUGCGUUCCAUUAGGUAGUUGGUGAGGUAACGGCUCACCAAGCCGACGAUGGAUAGGGAACUGAGAGGUUGGUCCCCCACACUGGUACUGAGACACGGACCAGACUCCUACGGGAGGCAGCAGUGAGGAAUAUUGGUCAAUGGGCGGGAGCCUGAACCAGCCAAGUCGCGUGAAGGAAGAAGGAUCUAUGGUUCGUAAACUUCUUUUGCAGGGGAAUAAAGUGCAGGACGUGUCCUGUUUUGUAUGUACCCUGAGAAUAAGGAUCGGCUAACUCCGUGCCAGCCGCGGC